RNAcentral lists this ribosomal RNA (253 nucleotides) under uncultured bacterium. Its description in RNAcentral is "partial 16S ribosomal RNA". It matches the Rfam family "Bacterial small subunit ribosomal RNA", at positions 524 to 776 of the family's 1533-position model. The record is from RNAcentral.
UACGGGGGGGGCAAGCGUUGUUCGGAAUUACUGGGCGUAAAGGGUUCGUAGGUGGCUGUCUAAGUCAGACGUGAAAUCCCUCAGCUCAACUGGGGAACUGCGUCUGAGACUGGACAGCUCGAGUGCAGGAGAGGAACGCGGAAUUCCAGGUGUAGCGGUGAAAUGCGUAGAUAUCUGGAGGAACACCGGUGGCGAAGGCGGCGUUCUGGACUGCAACUGACACUGAGGAACGAAAGCCAGGGGAGCAAACGGG